GCGCUCAUAGUUCAUCGGCUAGAAUAGUUCCCUGUCACGGAACAGAGGGGGGUUCGAUUCCCCCUGGGCGCG
Molecule: transfer RNA, 72 nt
Filed under: Patescibacteria group bacterium
Lineage: Bacteria
Description: tRNA-Asp
Rfam family: tRNA
About the family: Transfer RNA (tRNA) molecules are approximately 80 nucleotides in length.
Source: RNAcentral